This 584-nucleotide long non-coding RNA is filed under the name Nicotiana benthamiana. RNAcentral describes it as "long non-coding RNA (NBEN_LNC036525)". The record is from RNAcentral. Lineage: Eukaryota; Viridiplantae; Streptophyta; Magnoliopsida; Solanales; Solanaceae.
CCGCCUGAGGAGAUUAUGAGUAGGACCAUGGUGCAGAUUCUUCUGCCUAUAAUAUUUUUUAAAGCAAUUGUUUUAGAAAUGAAAAAGAUGAGAAAUAGUAGAGAUGCCACUUCGAAAUUUUUUUAACGCAAUUGUUUUAGAAUUGAAAAAGAUGAGAAAUAGUAGAGAUGCCACUUCCAUUUAAGUGCGACUUGACAAUGAGGGAAACAAUUCCUUGUUUUUACUUAACCAUUUUGUAUAGUAGUAGUAGAAAACAAGGAUUUUCUACUUGUAAAGUCGGUUAAAAUGACUAAUUCCUGUCAAAUGAAAAUAGCCAAUUUUUAUUCAAGAAAUUUUUUUUAAGUCACUUGAUUGUAAGACCCAAAAACCUUUUAUAUGUUCAUGUUUCCUAAUUCACAUGGUGUUUAUUGACCUAGAGAAGGUAUAUGACAAGGUCCCUCGGGAUGUACUUUGGAGAUGUCGGGAGGUGAAAGGGGUGCCGGUAGGGUACAUUAGAUUUAUAAAGGAUAUGUAUGAUGGAGCUAAGACUCGGGUCAGAACCGCGGGAGGUGACUCAGACCGGGAGGUGAAAGGGGUGCCGGUAG